AUUGAACGCUGGCGGCAGGCCUAACACAUGCAAGUCGAACGAGUGGCGGACGGGUGGGUAAUUUCUGGGACACCGCCCGAUGGAGGGGGAUAACUACUGGAACCGGUAGCUAAUACCGCAUACCAUCAGCUGUGCCCAGAUGGGAUUAGCUUGUUGGUGGGGUAACGGCUCACCAAGGCGACGAGCCCUAGCUGGUCUGAGAGGCUGACAAGCCAAGCUGGAACUGGGACACGGACCAGACUCCUACGUGAGGCAGCAGUGGGGAAUAUUGCACAAUGGGGGCAAGCCUGAUGCAGCCAUGCCGCGGGUAUGAAGAAGGCCUUCGGGUUGUAAAGUACGUUCAGCGGGGAGGCGUUACCCGCAGAAGAAGCACCGGCUAACUCCGUGCCAGCAGCCGCGGUAAUGC
This 406-nucleotide ribosomal RNA is filed under the name uncultured bacterium. Its description in RNAcentral is "partial 16S ribosomal RNA". It matches the Rfam family "Bacterial small subunit ribosomal RNA", at positions 29 to 526 of the family's 1533-position model. The record is from RNAcentral.